GACGAACGCUGGCGGCGUGCUUAACACAUGCAAGUUGAACGGAAAGGCCCUGCCUUUGUGGGGUGCUCGAGUGGCGAACGGGUGAGUAACACGUGAGUAACCUGCCCUUGACUUUGGGAUAACUUCAGGAAACUGGGGCUAAUACCGGAUAGGAGCUCCUGCUGCAUGGUGGGGGUUGGAAAGUUUCGGCGGUUGGGGAUGGACUCGCGGCUUAUCAGCUUGUUGGUGGGGUAGUGGCUUACCAAGGCUUUGACGGGUAGCCGGCCUGAGAGGGUGACCGGCCACAUUGGGACUGAGAUACGGCCCAGACUCCUACGGGAGGCAGCAGUGGGGAAUAUUGCACAAUGGGCGGAAGCCUGAUGCAGCAACGCCGCGUGCGGGAUGACGGCCUUCGGGUUGUAAACCGCUUUCGCCUGUGACGAAGCGUGAGUGACGGUAAUGGGUAAAGAAGCACCGGCUAACUACGUG
Molecule: ribosomal RNA, 468 nt
Filed under: uncultured bacterium
Lineage: Bacteria
Description: partial 16S ribosomal RNA
Rfam family: Bacterial small subunit ribosomal RNA
Source: RNAcentral